Long non-coding RNA from Silurus meridionalis, 1291 nucleotides. RefSeq lists it as uncharacterized. The record is from RefSeq and is a predicted model, not a curated record. The transcript has 3 exons. NCBI's taxonomy places the organism in Eukaryota, Metazoa, Chordata, Actinopteri, Siluriformes, Siluridae.
UGUAGUACUCCCGCUGCUUGUCUCUCCAGUCAAGCUAAGUAAAAGUCUGAAGUUGAAGAUAUCCCAGGGUGACACAAUGCAGCUCCUUGCAUGUGGUCGUGUGUAACAUGAAACAGCCUGUCAGUCAGCCGAGGAGUGAGAAAUACAGGAACUAGGGGUGAAGGAGUGUGUGCAACAAAGCCGUGCCUGUUACAUAGCAGGUCGACAAAUAAGAGCUGCGAAAAGCUUUUUAAGUUUAAUCUACGUGAGGCAGCGAGAGUAGUGUCUCAAAUCGGGUGUGUCUCAAAUCGACCUAUGGACAUAUGACAUGUUCCAUCCUGCUGCCUGCUAUCAUUAAUAGCGCCCGAGUGAGUGAGUCAGUGACUGAGUGAGUCAGUGAGGUGGCAAAGCAAGCAAACACGACCGCCAUGCCACCGUUGCUUGAUGAGGCAUGUGCUUCAGAUCAUGAGCGUUUCCUAUUUUUCUUCACACUUUCCAUCUUUUUUUUUUUUUUUUAUCAGUCAGGUACAGGUUAAUCUUCAUCUCAUCUGCCUGUAACAUUUAAUCCCAGAAUUCAGGAAGCGCUUUAGGUGAACUUUGUAAGAAAACCUGCUGAUUCAUUUCUGGAGGAUUUUGCUUCUAGUACUGAGCUCACAGCUAGGGUUUGGCAAUUUAGGUCUUAAUGGCAAUCUAUGACACAUCCACGUUUUAAUUCAGGAGUGUGUCUUGGUAUGGAACGGUUUUAUUUCAUGACUCCUGAGUUCUUUGGUUACUCUUUGGUUCACUACUGUCACUUUGUUUUUCCAGACCUAGCAAGAGGCUUUUGAGGGUUUCUAAACAAAGCUCUAUGAUCACCCGUUUUAUUGGAAUUGAAAUAAAGCUUGCAUAAAGUUACUUAAAAAAAAAUGGGAUGCAAAAAUAUUAUCAUAUUCUGCUUGAUGAUAGUUCCUUAUGUCACUUUGGAUUGGUGUUGGGGAUCAGGGGGCGUGUCUAGACAUACGUAACAUGUUUAUUAUACGCCACAUUAUUACCAUUUAGCCAUUUCUUUACUAUUUACCUGUUAAGAGGUUUUAGAAAGUAGUUAUUAGCUGUAACAAAGCUCACUGUUAAACUGAAAUAAAUGUAUAGAAACUGUUGUGUAUGUGCUCUGUGCUGAACAGCAGUGGAAUUCCUCACUAUAACUUUGUAUAGUGAAGUCAUCCAGAUAAAAAAAACACUUAUUUAGGUUUUGCGAAUGAAUAAAUAAAUGGACUUAAUUGUUUGGCAUGUAUGCACAGAAGAUGAUGUUUUCUUGGUUGCUCUCCUAUCAAGU